RNAcentral lists this ribosomal RNA (278 nucleotides) under uncultured bacterium. RNAcentral describes it as "partial 16S ribosomal RNA". It matches the Rfam family "Bacterial small subunit ribosomal RNA", at positions 506 to 784 of the family's 1533-position model. The record is from RNAcentral.
UGCCAGCAGCCGCGGUAAUACGAAGGGACCUAGCGUAGUUCGGAAUUACUGGGCUUAAAGAGCACGUAGGUGGUUAGAAAAGUUGGUGGUGAAAUCCCAGGGCUUAACCCUGGAACUGCCACCAAACUUUUUAACUAGAGUAUGAUAGAGGUAAGCGGAAUUUCUAGUGUAGAGGUGAAAUUCGUAGAUAUUAGAAAGAACACCAAUUGCGAAGGCAGCUUUCUGGAUCAUUACUGACACUGAGGUGCGAAAGCAUGGGUAGCGAAGAGGAUUAGAUA